RNAcentral lists this ribosomal RNA (492 nucleotides) under uncultured bacterium. RNAcentral's name for it is "bacterial SSU rRNA". It matches the Rfam family "Bacterial small subunit ribosomal RNA", at positions 899 to 1397 of the family's 1533-position model. The record is from RNAcentral.
ACUCAAAUGAAUAGACGGGCACCCGCACAAGCGGUGGAGCAUGCUGUUUAAUUCGAAGAUACGCGAAGAACCUUACCUAGGUUUGACAUCCCCGGCAAAGCUAUAGAAAUAUAGUGGAGGUUAUCCGGGUGACAGAUGGUGCAUGGUUGUCGUCAGCUCGUGUCGUGAGAUGUUUGGUUAAGUCCAACAACGAGCGCAACCCUUAUUGUUAGUUGCUAACAUUUAGUUGAGAACCUUAACAAUACUGCCGAUGUAAGUCGGAGGAAGGUGGGGAUGAGGUCAAAUCAUCAUGCCUCUUACAUCUAGGGCUACAGGCGUGCUACAAUGGCUGGUACAACGAGUCGCAACAUAGUGAUAUGUAGCUAAUCUCUUAAAGCCAGUCUCAGUUCGGAUUGGAGUCUGCAACUCGACUCCAUGAAGUUGGAAUCGCUAGUAAUCCCGAAUCAGAAUGUCGGGGUGAAUACGUUCUCGGGUGUUGUACACACCGCCCGU